Molecule: transfer RNA, 40 nt
Filed under: Erythrococca natalensis
Lineage: Eukaryota; Viridiplantae; Streptophyta; Magnoliopsida; Malpighiales; Euphorbiaceae
Description: partial tRNA-Phe
Source: RNAcentral
GUCGGGAUAGCUCAUUUGGUAGAGCAGAGGACUGAAAAUC